AUUGAACGCUGGCGGCAGGCCUAACACAUGCAAGUCGAGCGGAUGAAGGGAGCUUGCUCCUGGAUUCAGCGGCGGACGGGUGAGUAAUGCCUAGGAAUCUGCCUGGUAGUGGGGGAUAACGUCCGGAAACGGGCGCUAAUACCGCAUACGUCCUGAGGGAGAAAGUGGGGGAUCUUCGGACCUCACGCUAUCAGAUGAGCCUAGGUCGGAUUAGCUAGUUGGUGGGGUAAAGGCCUACCAAGGCGACGAUCCGUAACUGGUCUGAGAGGAUGAUCAGUCACACUGGAACUGGGACACGGUCCAGACUCCUACGGGAGGCAGCAGUGGGGAAUAUUGGACAUUGGGCGAAAGCCUGAUCCAGCCAUGCCGCGUGUGUGAAGAAGGUCUUCGGAUUGUAAAGCACUUUAAGUUGGGAGGAAGGGCAGUAAGUUAAUACCUUGCUGUUUUGACGUUACCAACAGAAUAAGCACCGGCUAACUUCGUG
This 484-nucleotide ribosomal RNA is filed under the name uncultured bacterium. RNAcentral's name for it is "partial 16S ribosomal RNA". It matches the Rfam family "Bacterial small subunit ribosomal RNA", at positions 30 to 507 of the family's 1533-position model. The record is from RNAcentral.